AGCAGCCGCGGUAAUUCCAGCUCCAAUAGCGUAUAUUAAAGUUGUUGCAGUUAAAAAGCUCGUAGUUGAAUUUCGGGAUUGACGUGAUGGUCAUGCCUUAAGGGGUAUGAACUGUUACAGUUGAUUUCUCACCUUCUGGAGAAACUUGAUGUCCUUUAUUGGGUGUCUUGCGGAUCCAGGACCUUUACCUUGAAAAAAUUAGAGUGUUUAAAGCAGGCAUUUUUGCUCGAAUACAUUAGCAUGGAAUAAUAGAAUAGGACGGCAUGGUUCUAUUUUGUUGGUUUCUAGGAUCACCGUAAUGAUUAAUAGGGAUAGUUGGGGGCAUUAGUAUUCAAUUGUCAGAGGUGAAAUUCUUGGAUUUAUUGAAGACUAACUACUGCGAAAGCAUUUGCCAAGGAUGUUUUCAUUAAUCAAGAACGGAAGUUAGGGGAUCGAAGACGAUCAGAUACCGUCGUAGUCUUAACCAUAAACUAUGCCGACUAGGAAUCAGGCGAUGUUAAUUUUUAAUGUACUCGUUUGG
This 520-nucleotide ribosomal RNA is filed under the name uncultured Entrophospora. RNAcentral's name for it is "SSU rRNA". It matches the Rfam family "Eukaryotic small subunit ribosomal RNA", at positions 569 to 1083 of the family's 1831-position model. Lineage: Eukaryota; Fungi; Glomeromycota; Glomeromycetes; Entrophosporales; Entrophosporaceae. The record is from RNAcentral.